This 274-nucleotide ribosomal RNA is filed under the name uncultured bacterium. Its description in RNAcentral is "partial 16S ribosomal RNA". It matches the Rfam family "Bacterial small subunit ribosomal RNA", at positions 523 to 796 of the family's 1533-position model. The record is from RNAcentral.
AUACGGAGGGUGCAAGCGUUAUUCGGAAUCACUGGGCGUAAAGCGCGCGCAGGCGGCUAUUUAAGUUGGAUGUGAAAGCCUAUGGCUCAACCAUAGAACUGCAUCCAAAACUAUUUAGCUAGAGUGUGGGAGAGGAAGAUGGAAUUAGUUGUGUAGGGGUAAAAUCCGUAGAGAUAACUAGGAAUACCAAAAGCGAAGGCAAUCUUCUGGAACACUACUGACGCUGAGGCGCGAAAGCGUGGGGAGCAAACGGGAUUAGAAACCCUAGUAGUCC